GUGAGGAAUAUUGGGCAAUGGGCGCAAGCCUGACCCAGCAACGCCGCGUGAAGGAAGACGGUCUUCGGAUUGUAAACUUCUUUUGUCAGGGACGAAUAAUGACGGUACCUGGCGAAUAAGCCACGGCUAACUACGUGCCAGCAGCCGCGGUAAUACGUAGGUGGCAAGCGUUGUCCGGAUUUACUGGGUGUAAAGGGCGAGUAGGCGGAUUUGCAAGUCAGGUGUGAAAGCCCGGGGCUUAACCCCGGGUCUGCAUUUGAAACUGCGGAUCUUGAGUAUCGGAGAGGCAGGCGGAAUUCCCGGUGUAGCGGUGGAAUGCGUAGAUAUCGGGAGGAACACCAGUGGCGAAGGCGGCCUGCUGGACGACAACUGACGCUGAGGAGCGAAAGCGUGGGGAGCAAACAGGAUUAGAAACCCCUGUAGUCC
RNAcentral lists this ribosomal RNA (426 nucleotides) under uncultured bacterium. Its description in RNAcentral is "partial 16S ribosomal RNA". It matches the Rfam family "Bacterial small subunit ribosomal RNA", at positions 354 to 796 of the family's 1533-position model. The record is from RNAcentral.